AACCUUAUGGACCUGCGGGCGUAUACCUGCGGAGGGAUCAUUAUAGAGUUUUUUAUACCCUUUUAUAAAGGGUAAGAAACCUCCAACCCUUUGUUUUUUGACAUUUGUUGCUUUGGUAGGUUUUUAUUUUAACCUACCAGAGGAAAUUAAAACUCUGAAUAUUUUUUUGUUGUCCGAGUUUAUAAAAAAAAUUAAAAAAACUUUCAACAAUGGAUCU
RNAcentral lists this unclassified non-coding RNA (217 nucleotides) under soil metagenome. RNAcentral's name for it is "partial contains 5.8S ribosomal RNA, internal transcribed spacer 2, and large subunit ribosomal RNA". The record is from RNAcentral.